RNAcentral lists this ribosomal RNA (492 nucleotides) under uncultured bacterium. RNAcentral describes it as "partial 16S ribosomal RNA". It matches the Rfam family "Bacterial small subunit ribosomal RNA", at positions 29 to 507 of the family's 1533-position model. The record is from RNAcentral.
AGUGAACGCUGGCGGUAGGCCUAACACAUGCCAGUCGAACGGCAGCACAGUAAGAGCUUGCUCUUACGGGUGGCGAGUGGCGGACGGGUGAGGUAUACAUCGGAAUCUACUUUUUCGUGGGGGAUAACGUAGGGAAACUUACGCUAAUACCGCAUACGACCUACGGGUGAAAGCAGGGGAUCUUCGGACCUUGCGCGAUUGAAUGAGCCGAUGUCGGAUUAGCUAGUUGGCGGGGUAAAGGCCCACCAAGGCGACGAUCCGUAGCUGGUCUGAGAGGGUGAUCAGCCACACUGGAACUGAGACACGGUCCAGACUCCUACGGGAGGCAGCAGUGGGGAAUAUUGGACAAUGGGCGCAAGCCUGAUCCAGCCAUACCGCGUGGGUGAAGAAGGCCUUCGGGUUGUAAAGCCCUUUUGUUGGGAAAGAAAAGCAGCAGGUUAAUACCCCGCUGUUCUGACGGUACCCAAAGAAUAAGCACCGGCUAACUUCGUG